RNAcentral lists this ribosomal RNA (269 nucleotides) under uncultured bacterium. RNAcentral describes it as "partial 16S ribosomal RNA". It matches the Rfam family "Bacterial small subunit ribosomal RNA", at positions 1229 to 1500 of the family's 1533-position model. The record is from RNAcentral.
GGCGGUUAACAAAGAGAGGCAAGACCGCGAGGUGGAGCAAAUCUCAAAAAACCGUCCCAGUUCGGAUCGCAGGCUGCAACCCGCCUGCGUGAAGUUGGAAUCGCUAGUAAUCGCGGAUCAGCAUGCCGCGGUGAAUACGUUCCCGGGCCUUGUACACACCGCCCGUCACACCAUGAGAGUCGGGAACACCCAAAGUCCGUAGUCUAACCGCAAGGAGGGCGCGGCCUAAGGUGGGUUCGAUAAUUGGGGUGAAGUCGUAACAAGGUAAC